Molecule: ribosomal RNA, 443 nt
Filed under: uncultured bacterium
Lineage: Bacteria
Description: bacterial SSU rRNA
Rfam family: Bacterial small subunit ribosomal RNA
Source: RNAcentral
AGUAAAGUGGCGCACGGGUGAGUAACACGUGAAUAAUCUACCUCCGAGUGGGGAAUAACUGAGAGAAAUCUUAGCUAAUACCGCAUAACACUUACGAGUCAAAGCAGCAAUGCGCUUGGAGAGGAGUUCGCGGCCGAUUAGUUAGUUGGCGGGGUAAUGGCCCACCAAGACGAUGAUCGGUAUCCGGCCUGAGAGGGCGCACGGACACACUGGAACUGAAACACGGUCCAGACUCCUACGGGAGGCAGCAGUGGGGAAUUUUGCGCAAUGGGGGAAACCCUGACGCAGCAACGCCGCGUGGAGGAUGAAGUAUCUUGGUACGUAAACUCCUUUCGAUUGGGAAGAUAAUGACGGUACCAAUAGAAGAAGCCCCGGCUAACUUCGUGCCAGCAGCCGCGGUAAUACGAGGGGGGCAAGCGUUGUUCGGAUUUAUUGGGCGUAAA